AAACUAAUGCAAGGCUAUCUCCUCCAACCCUCUUUCAUGCCAAUUUCAUCGUUCCACUCACCUCUCAUCAAUGAAAGGAAUCCUCUCCUUCACUCACCCAAGACCCUCUUCCUCCCUUUAUAGUUAACAACGUCUUCUUUCUUAAAGGUGUUCUUAUGGCCAGAAUGGGAAGAUCACCUCCUCCCUUCUUUUUGUUUAUUUUUUAUAUUUAAUUUAGAUUUUAGAUAUUAUUUAUUAGCCUCUUUUCCAUAGCCUAUCUGACCAUUUAUGUUGUUGUUGUAUUUAUUGAGCAGAGAAAAGGAAUGGU
RNAcentral lists this long non-coding RNA (307 nucleotides) under Elaeis guineensis (African oil palm). RNAcentral describes it as "long non-coding RNA (EGUI_LNC007416)". Lineage: Eukaryota; Viridiplantae; Streptophyta; Magnoliopsida; Arecales; Arecaceae. The record is from RNAcentral.